RNAcentral lists this ribosomal RNA (489 nucleotides) under uncultured bacterium. RNAcentral describes it as "partial 16S ribosomal RNA". It matches the Rfam family "Bacterial small subunit ribosomal RNA", at positions 29 to 506 of the family's 1533-position model. The record is from RNAcentral.
AUUGAACGCUGGCGGCAGGCCUAACACAUGCAAGUCGAACGGUAACAGGAAGAAGCUUGCUUCUUUGCUGACGAGUGGCGGACGGGUGAGUAAUGUCUGGGAAACUGCCUGAUGGAGGGGGAUAACUACUGGAAACGGUAGCUAAUACCGCAUAACGUCGCAAGACCAAAGAGGGGGACCUUCGGGCCUCUUGCCAUCGGAUGUGCCCAGAUGGGAUAAGCUAGUAGGUGGGGUAACGGCCCACCUAGGCCACGAUCCCUAGCCGGUCUGAGAGGAUGGCCCGGCAAAAGGGAACUUAGGCACGGUCCAAAAGCCUGCGGGAGGGAAAAGAGGGGAAAUAUGGCAAAAGGGGGAAAAGCUGGAGCAACCAACGCCGGUGGAUUAAGAAAGCCCUGGGGUUGUAAAAUACUUUACGGCGGGGAGAAAGGAGUAAAGUUAAGACCUUUACUCAUUGACGUUACCCGCAGAAGAAGCACGGGCUAACUCCGU